CCUACGGGUGGCAGCAGUGAGGAAUAUUGGUCAAUGGACGAAAGACUGAACCAGCCAAGUAGCGUGAAGGAUGACGGCCCUAUGGGUUGUAAACUUCUUUUAUGUGGGAAUAAAAUGCGCCACGUGUGUUGUUUUGUACGUACCGCAUGAAUAAGGACCGGCUAAUUCCGUGCCAGCAGCCGCGGUAAUACGGAGGUUCCGGGCGUUAUCCGGAUUUAUUGGGUUUAAAGGGAGCGUAGGCGGUAUGUUAAGUGAGACGUGAAAUGCCGCGGCUCAACCUUGGAAUUGCAGUUGAAACUGGGAGGCUUGAGUGCAGGAGAGGUAGGCGGAAUUCGUGGUGUAGCGGUGAAAUGCUUAGAUAUCACGAAGAACUCCGAUUGCGAAGGCAGCUUACGGGACUGCAACUGACGCUGAGGCUCGAAAGUGUGGGUAUCAAACAGGAUUAGAUACCCCAGUAGUC
RNAcentral lists this ribosomal RNA (460 nucleotides) under uncultured bacterium. Its description in RNAcentral is "partial 16S ribosomal RNA". It matches the Rfam family "Bacterial small subunit ribosomal RNA", at positions 338 to 795 of the family's 1533-position model. The record is from RNAcentral.